This 2680-nucleotide long non-coding RNA is filed under the name Salmo salar (Atlantic salmon). RNAcentral describes it as "lncRNA (ENSSSAG00000098043.1)". The record is from RNAcentral. Lineage: Eukaryota; Metazoa; Chordata; Actinopteri; Salmoniformes; Salmonidae.
AUGGAAUUGAAAUAGAAUUGACCCCAAACCUGAUAUGAGUUAUGAAGAGCUCCGUUGUUUUCCCAGGUUAGAGAGACUGAGUCACUACUCACUACUAAGCUAGGGGAUUCUCUGUGGUCCCGUAUUAGUACCUGGAUAUAUCUGCUAAGGCAUCAGAGUGCCCUGCCAACCACCAGACAGACUUACUGAAGCCAGGCGGUGUACUAGUCUCAGGGGCUGUGCUGCCACCUAUAGGCAGACUGCAGACUGCAGCAUAGCACGCAGCUCCGGGAGCGUGGUGGCGUCAAGUCUAAACCUAACCCUUCACCUACAGUAACUCAUGUUGUGAGGGUGAGUCACGAUGAGAGGAGAGGAUGCCCACCUUGAAGGAAGGUGGUUGUAAAGAUGCAAUCUGUGGUUUAAUUUCUAGUAGAACAUUUUGAAAAAAGGAUUGUUCUGGCAGGAUUGAGGGGGAGGAUCUCUACAAGGAGACUGCGCACUGAACUGCUGAAAUGGAACUACAUUGGUGUGUGUGUGUGUGCGUGCGUGCGCGUGUAUACUUAAUGCAACGUAAUCAGAAACUAGAAGAAACAGAAAGAGUAGUGGAAUGUGUCUCAAGAAUAGUCUGAAUUUGAUCCGAUUUCUUUUGUGAGAUGAAGAAACAUAUGAUGCACAUUCUUCCGUUGGUUUUAUUUCAUCUACUGCCUGUCUAAGACAGAGGAUACAUUAUGUAGAACAAGUACAGCAUGUCUUAGUGUGGUGAUGAACAGUGCGUGUGGAAUCUUUCCCUAAUGGUUAUCAUCACUGACGCAGGCAGCUCUCUGAAUAGGAAGUGUGUGGAACUACAGUUUUACUACUACUGGCACUAGAGAGUCAUGGUGCAAUGCAUUCUGUUGCGCCUUGUGACGUAAGCGCUGGUUGACUGUGGUGCGCGUCGUUGAGUUCCAGCGGCAGCAGAUUACACCGACUUCACAACUUCACCGACAACAUCACAAUCGGUGGUUACGUCUGACAAGCAUGUAUGCUAAGACAGUGAGGUGCUCUCUAAGACAGGGAGUGAUGCAACCAUAGAUGGGAUAUUGCCUGUGGGUGUAACCAUAAUAAUAUAGUGUCCUGUCUUCUAUUUCUACGGGUGGAAGAGCAGAGAGAUCACUGUAGGCUGUAGUACCGCUAGAGUCUGCCAGGGGGCAGCAGAGCACACACAAAGCGCAUGUUGUCGUGUUGAUAUUGAGUAUUGCAUCAUGAGAACUCGGGAACAGUCCACGGUGUACCCAGGUUCUACAGACCUCCUCCCUCGUUCUAUCUGCCUCCUCUGUCUCCUUUGACAGUGUAUCUAUGGCCCCCUCUUCAUCCAAUGGAGGAAUUGUGUCAAGGAGUAUUCCAAGGAAGUUGGUCCCCAUAUUGAAGUUGAUAAACGGCAUCCUAAAAACGAAACGGUUAUUUUAUAUGCAAUGUAUGUAGAAUGAGAUAAAUCUGCAACAUAUAAAGGUAGAUAAACAUACAACAUGCCUAGAUAUAAUUACAUGGUAUAUAGAUGACACGCACACACAGAGAUAGAUGAAAAUACCACGCAACAGACUACGAGGUAAACAAAGACGAGCGUCGAGGUUCAUUGCCCUGCUAUAGUCCUGUUAUAGCUAUCACUGCUAUCCGGUUUAUAUCCUGUAUUAAUGUUCUGUCCGUUACUGUUAAAUCAUGUCACUGUCCUUUUCUAUUCAGAGGCCACGCAGGGCACAGUGAACGACAGAAGGCCCAAACAUAUCUGGACUGGUAUGUAGCAGCAUUGGUUCAGGGAGGCGUGCGACUUCAGGCCAGACAGGAUAAAUGGUGGGCAGAAAGUGACCACAGCUCCAGACUUUCAAGUGCUGCCUGUUGCUUGUUGGCUCUGAGCGGUUUACACCUCAAGUGGUUGAGUAGCCGGGGGAAACAACACAACAAGCUAAGUUCUCUAUUGAUUUAUUACUCAACCUAAAGUCUUUAUUACUCAACCUAAACACCAAAGACAACUAGGAAAAGUCAAUUCAACUGUACUGAAGAAAAAUAUAAACGCAACAUAUAAAGUGUUGGUCCCAUGUUUCAUGAGCUGAAACAAAAUAUCCCAGAAAUGUUCCAUACUCACAAAUUUUGUGCAAACAUUUUGUUUACAUCCCUGUUAGUGAACAUUUCUCCUUUGCCAAGAUAAUCCAUCCACCUGACAGGUGUGGCAUAUCAAGAACCUGAUUAAACAGCAUGAUCAUUACAUAGGUGCACCUUGUGCUGGGGACAAUAAAAGGCCACUCUAAAAUGUGCAAUUUUGUCACACAACAUUAUGCCACAGAUGUCUCAAGUUUUUAGGGAGCACGCAAUUGGCAUGCUGACUGCAGGAAUGUCCACCGGAGCUGUUGCCAGAGAAUUUAAUGUUUGUUUCUCUAUCCAACGUCGUUUUAGAGAAUUUGGCAGUACGUCCAACCUGCCUCACAACCGCAGACCACGUGUAACCACUCCAGCCCAGGACCUCCACAUCUGACUUCUUCACCUACGUGAGCAUCUGAGAUCAGCCACCCGGACAUCUGAUGAAACUGACAAUUAUUUCUGUCUGUAAUAAAGCCCUUUUGUGAGGAAAGCACUCAUUCUGAUUGUCAGGUCCUAACUCCCCAGUGGGUGGGCCUAUGCCCUCUCGGGCCUAUGCCCCCCCAUGCCCACCCAUGGCGGUGCCCCUGCC